AGCGAACGCUGGCGGCAGGCCUAACACAUGCAAGUCGAGCGCUCAUCUUCGGAUGGGAGCGGCGCACGGGUGAGUAACACGUGGGAACCUACCUUGAAGUAUGGAAUAACUGAGGGAAACUUCAGCUAAUACCGUAUACGCCCUACGGGGGAAAGAUUUAUCGCUUCAAGACGGGCCCGCGUUGGAUUAGCUGGUUGGUGAGGUAAUGGCUCACCAAGGCGACGAUCCAUAGCUGAUUUGAGAGAAUGAUCAGCCACACUGGGACUGAGACACGGCCCAGACUCCUACGGGAGGCAGCAGUGGGGAAUAUUGGACAAUGGGCGCAAGCCUGAUCCAGCCAUGCCGCGUGAGUGAUGAAGGCCUUCGGGUUGUAAAGCUCUUUCAGAUGGGACGAUGAUGACGGUACCAUCAGAAGAAGCCCCGGCUAACUUCGUGCCAGCAGCCGCGGUAAUACGAAGGGGGCUAGCGUUGUUCGGAAUUACUGGGCGUAAAGCGCGCGUAGGCGGCUUUGUCAGUCAGGGGUGAAAUCCCGGGGCUUAACCUCGGAACUGCCUUUGAUACUGCAAGGCUUGAGUCUGUGAGAGGAUGGUGGAAUACCCAGUGUAGAGGUGAAAUUCGU
This 619-nucleotide ribosomal RNA is filed under the name uncultured Alphaproteobacteria bacterium. RNAcentral's name for it is "bacterial SSU rRNA". It matches the Rfam family "Bacterial small subunit ribosomal RNA", at positions 28 to 691 of the family's 1533-position model. The record is from RNAcentral. Lineage: Bacteria; Pseudomonadati; Pseudomonadota; Alphaproteobacteria.